UGGAUGAUGUGGUUUAAUUCGAUGCAACGCGAAAACCUUACCCACCUUUGACAUGUACGGAACCCUUUAGAGAUAGAGGGGUGCUCGAAAGAGAGCCGUAACACAGGUGCUGCAUGGCUGUCGUCAGCUCGUGUCGUGAGAUGUUGGGUUAAGUCCCCGCAACGAGCGCAACCCUUGUCAUUAGUUGCUACAUUCAGUUGGGCACUCUAAUGAGACUGCCGGUGACAAGCCGGAGGAAGGUGGGGAUGACGUCAAGUCCUCAUGGCCCUUAUAGGUGGGGCUACACACGUCAUACAAUGGCUGGUACAAAGGGUUGCCAACCCGCGAGGGGGAGCCAAUCCCAUAAAGCCAGUCGUAGUCCGGAUCGUAGUCUGCAACUCGACUACGUGAAGUCGGAAUCGCUAGUAAUCGUGGAUCAGAAUGUCCACGGUCGAAUACGUUCCGGUCUU
RNAcentral lists this ribosomal RNA (449 nucleotides) under uncultured Rhodoferax sp. Its description in RNAcentral is "bacterial SSU rRNA". It matches the Rfam family "Bacterial small subunit ribosomal RNA", at positions 933 to 1374 of the family's 1533-position model. Lineage: Bacteria; Pseudomonadati; Pseudomonadota; Betaproteobacteria; Burkholderiales; Comamonadaceae. The record is from RNAcentral.